Molecule: non-coding RNA, 1401 nt
Organism: Pelodiscus sinensis (Chinese soft-shelled turtle)
Lineage: Eukaryota; Metazoa; Chordata; Testudines; Trionychidae
Source: RefSeq, a predicted model, not a curated record
GGCCCUAGGCCGCCGAGGGGAAGGUCGCUAUGGUAACGCUCGCGCCACUAACUCAAUAAUAGCCUCGAAAGCUGAGCUGUUAUUUUCUCAUUCUCCCCCCCCCUCCCCUUCUCAAAAAAAAAAAAAUUAAACAGUCACGAGCCGCGCCGACUGGGCGCGAGGUCACGGCCCCGAUACGCACGCGCAGGGCGCGCCCAACGCACACGCCUGUCCGGGCUUAAAGAGACAGUAACGCAGAACUCGCUCCCAGGAGCCAGCGAAGGAAAGACACAACGCGCAUUGACUCUUCCCGCUCCAGGGAGAGAAAGGGACAGCCACGCCCCCCAGGCCCACACUUCCGGCACCUUGUGCUGACCUCACAGUCAACACUCAACAGCGAGCGCGUGCUCCCCUUCCGGAACCCAAUAGGUUAAGGAUUUUUUGUUCGCUUGUAUCUUACUUCUGGAGGCAGAGCUUCUCAGGGGACGAAAUCUUCCAUAUACAUUUUGGUUCCUAUACAGGACUGAAGGAUCGUGCUGUCAUCUUCCUCAGGCUGAACCCCUCCUGACUUCAAUAGGAAUUUUGAUUGUUUGAGAAAUACAGGAUUUGGCCAUGAAUGCACUUGGGAAUAUAUUCCCAGUAUGGGACCUGAUUCUGCAAGCAUGGAAAUGAGUAACUUUAUUCAUGAACAUGUACAAGGGGGCCAAAUUAAAGCAGGGAAACCUGAAUUCUGGCAUUUCUAACUUUUGAGUGCUUGAUUUUACAAUCUUAAUAAUGUUUUUCUAGCAUAACUUGUGUGUAUGUAGUAUAGCUAUAUCAUUGAAAGAAGAUGUGGUCAUUCGUUUGUUUGUAUACAACACCUUUAAAAUGUACAGGAGUCUUGCCUGACUGUUGCUGAGGUAGCUAGGAAGCAACUGGCAGUUGGUUUUUCAGGUUAGAUGCAGACUAUUACACAGUGAAACUCUUUUCUUCCUCUCACACGCUCCAUCCCUCAGACUUUAGGGGUUCAUUGGUUUUAAUCGGAAAUAAAAGUUAAUCAAGACGGAAAUAUCCAUAUAUUGCUCUUUGCAUCUGAGAAAUCAAAACCUAUACAAAUAAUGAGAAUAAAAGAAUUCACUCAACUGUACUCUGAGACUCCAGGCCCCAGUGCAGAAGAACUUCUAGGGUUGUGCUGGCCUGAAGAGUCUGACUCCUAUCUCUCAUUCUACUGUGUGUUUAAUUGUUGCCUCCCAUUCCCCUUUUCUUCCUCUCUCAUUUCAGUAUGGUUCCCUCCCUGCCUCUCAUUGUGUACUAGAGAGCACAAAGUGCCAAUGCAGUUGUACAUGGGCAGGAUGCACAGACCUGUUCUUCAUGUUUGUGAUCCUCUCCCUCUCUCUUCAGAUGUACUUGUUUCUGCUCAAGGGAUUAUAAAAGGGCUCCCAU